CUGGGAGGAAGGUAGGGUUUUUACCCUUUCCAAGCUGCAUGAACUCCAGCCACCCCUAGGAGGAGACAACAUAUCACACAUCCCAAACGAUAGGACCUGCAGUGGCAGAGAGUGGUAGACAGCUCUUUGAUAGAAUCAAGAUACUCAUCAGCAUGGCCUUUGAAGCACUGCUAUUCCAGAUGGGGUCAGGUGAGGAUUGGAACUGUGAAGUAACUCCUCAAAGUUGCAGCAAGAAGAUGAACCAAAGAUGGAAACCAG
Molecule: long non-coding RNA, 258 nt
Organism: Ailuropoda melanoleuca (giant panda)
Lineage: Eukaryota; Metazoa; Chordata; Mammalia; Carnivora; Ursidae
Exons: 3
Source: RefSeq, a predicted model, not a curated record